Long non-coding RNA from Pseudophryne corroboree (corroboree frog), 1193 nucleotides. RefSeq lists it as uncharacterized. The record is from RefSeq and is a predicted model, not a curated record. Lineage: Eukaryota; Metazoa; Chordata; Amphibia; Anura; Myobatrachidae. The transcript is spliced from 5 exons.
CGAGCAGGGCUCAUGCCCUGGGCGCCAUGGUGGACCCGGAAAAGGGGGGCGCACUGGGGCGGCAUAUAUAAAGUGCAUUUUAUUGUGACCGCAUCGCUGUGGUUUAAAAUUGUGCGGUGCGGGCCUCCCGGCUGAACCAGAGUGUGCGGCGCUGGAUGGCCAGGGGCUGCUUUCACUCCCGGUCCUCCUCUAGCUGUAUCGCUGCAGCAGCAUGGAUAUACUGGCUGCUGGACAGCGUCGCGCUCCCUGUUCAGCCUCUGCCCCGGGGACAGUGUGUCCCUGCAACGGGGGUGUUUUGUUAUUUAUGCUGGCCCCUCCAGUGUGUGCGGCGCUGGAUGGACAGGGUGCACUCUCCUUCCCUGUAAACUUUUAGCUGCAGCUCCGCAGCCGCCCGGCCUUAAUUACCGGCUGCUGGGCGUGCUGAGAUCCUUGGCUGCGGCGUCGCUCUCCCCGGCCGGCCUCCACCCCGGGGACACUGUGGCCCUGCUGCUGGGGAAUGAGACCAGCUACUUGGAGGCCUGGUUCAGGAUAGCCAAGCUGGGUAUGGUCGCUGCCUUCCUCACCUACGUCUGGACACUGGAGAGGGCCCCUGAUGCACUGCCUGGGAUCCAGCUGCCUCAUCACCAGCCCAGGCAUCUUCCGGACCACGGGAUAUCCUACAUGAAAGUGAUUACCGAAUGAAGACUCCAUCUUCCCAGGGAGGAUACAUGUCUUCAGAGGUUUCCCAUUGUGAGAAACCAUCAUAUAGACAAGGCACACGUGACAUCAUGAUGUCAUGCGUGCCACACUGCUUACAGAGUAACCAGCCACAGCAUGAAGAGGAGCAGCCGCAGCCAAAAAGCACAGAAGAAGGUAAACAAAAUUAAACAUUGGCGCAGACUAUCACAUCUGAUGUGCUUCAUUGUUAAUUAUAUCAUUAGCUGGUGCCGGCGUUCUGAUCAUACUCCGGUUACCAUGGAGCUCUCCUGCGACGCGGCGCAUCCGUGACGUCACGGUUGGGAGACGCGCAAGUGGAUCGCGACGGCUGGCGGGCGGGUGCGCCGUGGAGCAGGUGAGUAUGGUUAGUGUUGUUAAAUGUUGGUGGUUUCUGCUAUAUAUGUCUGUUAUGUACCUUAUGUUAGUUAGUUUGGCCCUGAGGACGGAGAGUAUUCUCCGAAACAUGUCGGCCCGUUGCCAAUAAAGGAAUUAUUCUU